CUUUUAACUAAAAUGGCGCCUUGGUGAGCGUCAUGAUAAUCGUGUUUGCUUAGAAGUUGUAGAAACUGCUGGGCUUGGCUGGGUGUUGUAGGGGCAGCGGUUCUCCGUUUACGAAUCGGUAUUGAUGAGAAGCAGUAUGUUUAGCUCUUCUGUGAAAGAUGCGGUACAUUCGGGUGUUUGCAGGUGUUUCCGUCCAACGGACUUCGUUUAUCGCAGAGAAAAUACCUGACCCGUCUAAUCAGCUUUCCGAACCUGACGUAAUUCGUCAUCGUUCUGAAAUAAAUCUCACUGAUGGAUGUGAUGUGGAUGCACCCAUACUUGAAGCUAUUGGAUCAGCAGUGGGGUACAGUAAUCAUUCUCCAGACCUGUCAGCCAGGCUCAUUCAAGUUCCUCAAGUAUACCGUUCGUCUUCGAUGAAUGCUCUCAUGUGUCAAGUUAGCGGCGAGUUGGAGCUCAAGGUCAAGACAUUGGUACUGGUAGAAAGCUGCUUUAGGGACUCAAUUGUCACCUUAAGAUCUUGGAUCUUGUUUCACUUCCGGCUAGACCUCCCAAGUCGGAGGUAGGGGAAAUUCUGUGGUGGGAUCGGAUUUUUACUGGAGCCUCAGGACUGCAGACGCAACCUUCAACUUCAAGAAGGAUCUCAUCUCUUUACUGCCAUCAGAACUCCUGACCUGCAUCCUAAUAAUUCUGCUUUUGGUUGAGUUAUUUUGGUUGUGCUUGUCUAGUUAUCAUAAUUGACAGCUCAUGUGUUGGAGAUUUUUGUCACACGCACUGAACUACCGUGAAAGUGAUAACCUAGCAGUGGAAUUCUUUGUUCAGAAUUUGAAUGGCUUGAGGGGGGGGGG
Molecule: long non-coding RNA, 845 nt
Organism: Paramormyrops kingsleyae
Lineage: Eukaryota; Metazoa; Chordata; Actinopteri; Osteoglossiformes; Mormyridae
Source: RefSeq, a predicted model, not a curated record